AUUAGUUGGUUCGAUACACCCUAGGUGCGCUCCAAUUCCUCCAAGAACACAAAUAAUCCUUCAAGGUUCAAAUCAACAAAUUCUUGUAAUCUCAAAUUUAUAACUACGAUUCAGGUGGUCCAUUGGCCAGACUGGUUUUCCUAAUAUUCUAAUUCCUUUCGUAUGUGGUCCAGUGGACAGACUGGUUUUCUUGGACUUUGGGGAGAGAAAGUGGAUGCUAUUCAAUAUCACAUAACUGAAAUUGAGAAACUGAAAGAUCAGGACGUGAUUUCCAUGUGAAAUUUUCGGUCGCAGUCCAACCCGUCAGAACUGAAAACCGUCUGUAUACCGAGCAUGGACGGUACCAAUUUUCGGCAGCAUUCGUUAUGGUCUUAUGGGUCAGUCUACGUAGCCAUGGUGAAACCAUUCCAAUGUUGGUUGCAUUUGUAAGGGUGUCAUGAUUCUUUGUGGUUAUCAAGGUGGAACAUCAUCCAUGACGACGAUCCAAGAAAGGAAAAUCAUCAUCAUCACCAUGGUAAUUCAACUCGGAAAUUUGGUCAUCAUGAUCAUCAUCACCAUCGUAAUGCAAAUCGUCAAUCUCUUCAUCUUCCGAAUCGCUAAGCACGAUCACCUCCUCCCACUUCCAAUUUUUCAAGUUAUCCUCACGUUUUUGUUUUUUGAAAUCGAAGGUAUCAUCGUGUUUUUGUUUUUUUGCAUGGUUGGAUGACAAGGUAACAUUUGUUUUGUUGUUUGGAGCCAUUCUUGUGGAAAGUGUUUGUAUUAGUGAUUUGUAAAUCUUGUGAUUGAUUAGUGAAG
This is a long non-coding RNA of Erigeron canadensis, 795 nucleotides long. RefSeq lists it as uncharacterized. NCBI's taxonomy places the organism in Eukaryota, Viridiplantae, Streptophyta, Magnoliopsida, Asterales, Asteraceae. The transcript is spliced from 5 exons. The record is from RefSeq and is a predicted model, not a curated record.